AUUGAACGCUGGCGGCAUGCCUUACACAUGCAAGUCGAACGGUAACAGGUCUUCGGAUGCUGACGAGUGGCGAACGGGUGAGUAAUACAUCGGAACGUGCCCGAUCGUGGGGGAUAACGCAGCGAAAGCUGUGCUAAUACCGCAUACGAUCUACGGAUGAAAGCGGGGGAUCGCAAGACCUCGCGCGGACGGAGCGGCCGAUGGCAGAUUAGGUAGUUGGUGGGAUAAAAGCUUACCAAGCCGACGAUCUGUAGCUGGUCUGAGAGGACGACCAGCCACACUGGGACUGAGACACGGCCCAGACUCCUACGGGAGGCAGCAGUGGGGAAUUUUGGACAAUGGGCGCAAGCCUGAUCCAGCCAUGCCGCGUGCAGGAUGAAGGCCUUCGGUUGUAACUGCUUUGUACGGAACGAAAAGUUACUCUCUAAUAAGGGGACGGAAGUGACGGUACCGUAAGAAUAAGCACCGGCUAACUACGUGCCAGCAGCCGAC
Molecule: ribosomal RNA, 492 nt
Filed under: uncultured bacterium
Lineage: Bacteria
Description: bacterial SSU rRNA
Rfam family: Bacterial small subunit ribosomal RNA
Source: RNAcentral